GCGGGGAGCCGGCGGCCAGGGCGGCGCUCAGACUGGGCCGGGAGCUCCGGCUGCGCGGGCUCUCGGCGGCCGCGGCGACAGCAUCCUCCACCGCCUCCUCUCUUUCUUUUCUUCCCCUCCGCUUCUUUCUUUUCUUUCUCCUUCUCCUUCUUCUUUUCCUGCCCUGUCCCACCCCGACCCACCCCCCUGCUCCUUCUCCAGAGGACCUUAGGUCCUCAGGUCCCUGAGCGGUGGCAGCGGCGACUGCGGGUGCAUCGUUUCCGCGCCCAGAUGUACUUCACUUUGAUCUCAGUUUUAGGAAGUCAUUGCAAUUCAGUGGAGCCAAAUGUGAUUUUAUUCAUCUGAUCCAACCUGUCUUGUGACUGCUGGCUGGAAUUAAGAUAGUCAUGUUGGCUGGUGCCGGGGUUGUGUCGAGAGAUAUGCUCUCAGAAUCAUGACCCCCUGAGCAGAAGUAGCUUCGGAGAGAUUGUAUGGAAGGAGCUUCGGCUUUCCACUUCUCCCCAUCUGAUCUUCUCAGAAAACCACUCCCUGCAAGAAGAAAACCAACAAAUGAUUCAUUUGAAUUAAAAAGAGUAUGUUUGCCCUGCCAAUUUAAAAGUCCCCAAACCACCUCCUCUACUUCUUAAGUUCCUAUAACUUUGUAGUUAUCACUACUUUCAAGGUAAAUGAGUUCCAAAUAGUCAGUCAUUCAAGUGACAGCAAUGCUUAAAAUACCAGCAUUAUACAGGAUGCUUGGGGCUGGUGCACUGAGACGACCCAGAGGGAUGGUACAGGGAGGGAGGAGGGAGAGGGGUUCAGGAUGGGGAACAUGUGUAUACCUGUGGCGGAUUCAUGUUGAUGUAUGGCAAAACCAAUACAGUAUUGUAAAGUAAUUAACCCCCAAUUAAAAUAAAUCAAUUUAUAUUUAAAAAAAUAAAAAUAAAAAAAUAAAAAUAAAGUGGCAGUAUUUUAGAUAUAUUGGGUAAAUAAAAUAUACUAUGAAAAUUAAAAAAAAAGAAUACCAGCAAAUUUUCCCUUCUCCAGGGGAUCUUCCCAACUCAGGGAUUGAACCCAGGUCUCUGGCAUUGCAGGCGGAUUCUUUACCAACUGAGCCACCAGGGAAGCUUAAAAGAUCUAAAGAAG
RNAcentral lists this long non-coding RNA (1122 nucleotides) under Capra hircus (goat). Its description in RNAcentral is "lncRNA (ENSCHIG00000006345.1)". The record is from RNAcentral. Lineage: Eukaryota; Metazoa; Chordata; Mammalia; Artiodactyla; Bovidae.